Molecule: long non-coding RNA, 468 nt
Filed under: Mytilus galloprovincialis (Mediterranean mussel)
Lineage: Eukaryota; Metazoa; Mollusca; Bivalvia; Mytilida; Mytilidae
Source: RNAcentral
AUAAUAUUUUAUAUUUCUUUUUGUUUGACAAUAGAGAUUGACUGGUGUGAACUAGUAACAUGUAUAAGUUAUACAUAUAUAUAUCCAAACGCUUAGUUGUAAUAGUAAAACUAGUUAUUGUUAUUAUGGAUUUAAAUACAUUAGUUAUAUAUGCACAUGAAAUCCUUAGGUGGUUUAAAGGCUUGGGUUCCGUUAUUUUUUAUACAAAAUUUUUGAGGUUUCAGUUCAUUAAAAGAACUUGCAGUAACUACAAAGUACAGUUUAUUGUCACAUAUACAUGGUUAUGAUGAUUAUGGAUCAUAUAGAGUUGAGUUAAUUUAUAUAGCAUGUACGGUAAUAAUAAUGUUUUGGACAUUUUAUUUUCUUGUAUGCAUGUCAAUUUGAUAAUAAGUGUUAUUCAUUUAUUUUAUAAUAUUAUGUAAUUAAACAUUGUUUGCAAGAGAAAAGAAAUAGUUUAUGCAAGCAACC